Theobroma umbraticum is the source of this 390-nucleotide non-coding RNA. Lineage: Eukaryota; Viridiplantae; Streptophyta; Magnoliopsida; Malvales; Malvaceae. The record is from RefSeq and is a predicted model, not a curated record.
CUCAACUCAACCUAGCUAGUAAUUAAUCCAAGAUGAAAGCAAUAUUUCUCAUAGUAUGCAUUCUCUUUGCUUCCUCUCUCUUUAUUCCCACUUCCACCAUGGCUCGACAACUAGUGGGUAUCCCUAUUAAGGCUCCCGCUGUACCUAUUCGAUGUCCCCCUGGUUCUCCGUAUCGAAGAUGCUUCCCUCCAGAAGUACCCAAAAAGAAGACUCCUCCUGAGUGUAAUCCUUACAGUCGUAAUUGCCAUGGCCUUCCUGGACCUUGAAUGGAGGAAAACUAUGGAUUUAUUAGCAAACAAUGCAAUGAAAGUAGCUAUAAAAUAAGCUGCCAACUACUCAUGUAUCGUUGGUAUAGAAAUAUGAACUUUAAGUUGCCCAUCAUUUGUAUUA